Molecule: long non-coding RNA, 3611 nt
Filed under: Triticum aestivum (bread wheat)
Lineage: Eukaryota; Viridiplantae; Streptophyta; Magnoliopsida; Poales; Poaceae
Description: long non-coding RNA (TAES_LNC028121)
Source: RNAcentral
CACGUUAUCAUUCUUGUUAGUUCUAAGUGAAUUCCCUCGGUAUGAUAAUUUGUUCAUCAGUUUGUUCCCCGUUUCUUCUCUAGCCUGAGCCUGACACACUAUUCUAGCUAGACAUGGGUGUGGCUCGUAACACCUGAUGACCAAACGGAUCUACGACACCAUCGAAUCUCAAACUUUAACUACCAAAACUAUUGUUUUUCAUCCUCUAGUCCCUUUUAGAAUUACUAAACGUCCUUUUUUGGGCCGAGAUUUCCAGGAACGCUUUCUCGGGGUUUGUGUGCAUGUAUUUCAAACCAUACAGACCUAAAAAUUAGAAGUCAUUCCAUCUUUAUUCCCGUAGAGCCUUCCAGCAGUUCCUAAACCGCUCCAGUCGGAGCAUGUUAUCAUUCUUGUUUGUUCUGAGUGAAUUCCCUCGGUAUGAUAAUUCUAUCAUCAGUUUGUUCCCCGUUUCUUCUCUAGCCUGAGCCUGGCAAACUAUUCNNNNNNNNNNNNNNNNNNNNNNNNNNNNNNNNNNNNNNNNNNNNNNNNNNNNNNNNNNNNNNNNNNNNNNNNNNNNNNNNNNNNNNNNNNNNNNNNNNNNNNNNNNNNNNNNNNNNNNNNNNNNNNNNNNNNNNNNCUAAACCGCUCUAGUCGGAGCACGUUAUCAUUCUUGUUAGUUCUGAGUGAAUUCCCUCGGUAUGAUAAUUCUUUCAUCAGUUUGUUCCCUGUUUCUUCUCUAGCCUGAGCCUGACACACUAUUCUAGCUAGACAUGGGUGUGGCUCGUAACACCUAAUGACCAAACGGAUCGACGGCACCAUCGAAUCUCAAACUUUAACUGCCAAAACUAUUGUUUUUCAUCCUGUUGUCCCAUUUAGAAUUACUAAACGUCCUUUUUUGGGCCGAGAUUUAGAGGAACGCUUUCUCGGGGUUUGUGUGCAAGUAUUUCAAACCAUACGGACCUAAAAAUUAGAAGUCAUUCCAUCUUUAUUCCCCUAGAGCCUUCCAGCAGUUCCUAAACCGCUCAAGUCAGAGCAUGUUAUCAUUCUUGUUAGUUCUGAGUGAAUUCCCUCGGUAUGAUAAUUCUUUCAUCAGUUUGUUCCCUGUUUCUUCUCUAGCCUGAGCCUGACACACUAUUCUAGCUAGACAUGGGUGUGGCUCGUAACACCUGAUGACCAAACGGAUCUACGACACCAUUGAAUCUCAAACUUUAACUACCAAAACUAUUAUUUUUCAUCCUGUAGUCCCUUUUAGAAUUACUAAACGUCCUUUUUUGGGCCGAGAUUUCCAAGAACGCUUUCUCGUGGUUUGUGUGCAAGUAUUUCAAACCAUACAGACCUAAAAAUUAGAAGUCAUUCCAUCUUUAUGCCCGUAGAGCCUUCCAGCAGUUCCUAAACCGCUCCAGUCGGAGCACGUUAUCAUUCUUAUUAGUUCUGAGUGAAUUCCCUCAGUAUGAUAAUUCUUUCAUAAGUUUGUUCCCCAUUUCUUCUCUAGCCUGAGCCUGGCACACUAUUCUAGCUAGACAUGGGUGUGGCUCAUAACACUUGUUGACUAAAUGGAUCGACGGCACCAUCGAAUCUCAAACUUUAACUGCCAAAACUAUUGUUUUUCAUCCUGUAGUCCCAUUUAGAAUUAUUAAACGUCCUUUUUUGGGCCGAUAUUUAGAGUAAUGCUUUCUCGGGGUUUGUCUGCAAGUAUUUCAAACCAUACGGACCUAAAAAUUAGAAGUCAUUCCAUCUUUAUUCCCCUAGAGCCUUCCAGCAGUUCCUAAACCGCUCUAGUCGGAGCACGUUAUCAUUCUUGUUAGUUCUGAGUGAAUUCCCUCAGUAUGAUAAUUCUUUCAUCUGUUUGUUCCCCGUUUCUUCUCUAGCCUGAGCCUGACACACUAUUCAAGCUAGACAUGGAUGUGGCUCGUAACACCUGAUGACCAAACGGAUCUACGGCACCAUCGAAUCCCAAACUUUAACUGCCAAAACUAUUGUUUUUCAUCCUGUAGUCCCUUUUAGAAUUACUAAACGUCCUUUUUUGGGCCGAGAUUUCCAGGAAUGCUUUCUCGGGGUUUGUGUGCAAGUAUUUCAAACCAUACAAAGCUAGAAAUUAGAAGUCAUUCCAUCUUUAUUAUCGUAGAGCCUUCCAGCAGUUCCUAAACCGGUCUAGUCGGAGCACGUUAUCAUUCUAGUUAGUUCUGAGUGAAUUCCCUCGGUAUGAUAAUUCUUUCAUCAGUUUGUUCCCCGUUUCUUCUCUAGCCUGAGCCUGACAAACUAUUCUAGCUAGACAUGCGUGUGGCUCGUAACACCUGAUGACCAAACGGAUCUAUAGCACCAUCGAAUCUCAAACUUUAACUGCCAAAACUAUUGUUUUCAUCCUGUAGUCCCUUUUAGAAUUACUAAACUUCCUUUUUUGGGCCGAGAUUUAGAGGAACGCUUUCUGGGGUUUGUGUGCAAGUAUUUCAAACCAUACAGACCUAAAAAUUAGAAGUCAUUCCAUCUUUAUUCCCCUAGAGCCUUCCAGCAGUUCCUAAACCGCUCUAGUCGGAGCACGUUAUCAUUAUUGUUAGUUCUGAGUGAAUUCCCUCGGUAUGAUAAUUCUUUCAUCAGUUUGUUCCCUGUUUCUUCUCUAUCCUGAGCCUGACACACUAUUCUAGCUAGACAUGGGUGUGGCUCGUAACACCUGAUGACUAAAUGGAUCGACGGCACCAUCGAAUCUCAAACUUUAACUGCCAAAACUAUUGUUUUUCAUCCUGUAGUCCCAUUUAGAAUUAGUAAACGUCCUUUUUUGGGCCGAGAUUUAGAGGAACGCUUUCUCGGGGUUUGUGUGCAAGUAUUUCAAACCAUACGGACCUAAAAAUUAGAAGUCAUUCCAUCUUUAUUCCCCUAGUCAUCAGGUAUACACUCAAGUCGGAGCACGUUAUCAUUCUUGUUAGUUCUGAGUGAAUUCCCUCGGUAUGAUAAUUCUUUCAUAAAUUUGUUCCCCGUUUCUUAUAUGGCCUGAGCCUGACACACUAUUCUAGCUAGACAUGGGUGUGGCUCGUAACACCUGAUGACCAAACGGAUCUACGGCACCAUCAAAUCUCAAACUUUAACUGCCAAAACUAUUCUUUUUCAUUCUGUAGUCCCUUCUAGAAUUACUAAACGUCCUUUUUUGGGCCGAGAUUUCCAGGAACGCUUUCUCGGGGUUUGUGUGCAUGUAUUUCAAACCAUACAGACCUAAAAAUUAUAAGUCAUUCCAUCUUUAUUCCCGUAGAGCCUUCCAGUAGUUCCUAAACCGCUCCAGUCGGAGCAUGUUAUCAUUCUUGUUAGUUCUAAGUGAAUUCCCUCGGUAUGAUAAUUCUUUCAUCAGUUUGUUCCCCGUUUCUUCUCUAGCCUGAGCCUGGCACACUAGUCUAGCUAGACAUGGGUGUGGCUCGUAACACCCGAUGACUAAAUGGAUCGACGGCACCAUCGAAUCUCAAACUUUAACUGCCAAAACUAUUGUUUUUCAUCCUGUAGUCCCAUUUAGAAUUACUAAACGUCCUUUUUUGGGCCGAGAUUUAGAGGAACGCUUUCUCGUGGUUUGUGUGCAAGAAUUUCAAACCAUACGGACCUAAAAAUUAGAAGUCAUUCCAUCUUUAUUCCCCUAGAGCCUUCCAGUAGUU